Molecule: non-coding RNA, 1857 nt
Organism: Labrus bergylta (ballan wrasse)
Lineage: Eukaryota; Metazoa; Chordata; Actinopteri; Labriformes; Labridae
Source: RefSeq, a predicted model, not a curated record
CCAGAACCUGAGAGGACAGGAAGGCCCGCGCCGCCCCCAACGCAUCGUGGUACUGAUCCGGGAAUACCGCUUCUGGAGCUAGACGAUUUAACGAACAGUGGAACAGAAACAUCCUGAGGAUGGAUGCAGGGAGAGAAAGUUCAGGUGUGGAAAACUCAUCUCCUGCAGGGAGUGUUAGUCUCCUGUAUUUUCCCAUCAACCUGUCCUCCACCUCUCUCCCCCUCACUGCAUCCUCACCGCCUUCAUGAAGCUCCGGAACAGCGCGUCCAGCAGCAUCAGCUUCCACGGCUCGCACACUCCUGUCGGUAGCGGCAAGUAGACGUAGUAAGCAGCCGCCGACAGCAGCACGGCUCCGGCCAAACGGAGCCUCAUGGCGGCAGACUGUACCUGCCUAAUGCCAACCGGUAAUACGGUUAUUACCCUCCCCGGUCCAAGGGAAUUGGAAGCUCCGCCAGAGAUCAACGAAAUACAGAGGAUUGACCUUGAUUUCGAAAUAAACCCCGAGCUCGAGGUUUUACGUCUAUAUCAUAGCGAACGAUACACGGAAUGCUCUUAUUUUGAAAAGUAAAAGAGGAAGUAGUGACGGCAUUGUGUAAGGAGGUUGCUGACGGGAAGUGUAGUUUUUUUUCUGAUGGUGGUCAUAAUACGACGAAUAUAUUUAGCCUGUUGCAAAUGGUUGUUUAAGAGUUUGAUUCUUGGGCUCAAAUAUUGUGAUAAAGAUAAUUUAAUAUAUGUAAAUAUUUUUACACUGUUUUAUAACCCAACCUUACGCUAACAAACGAUGUUAAUCAACAGUUCAAUAUUACUGUAUACUGUAAAUUCUGAAAACCUGUGACACAGGAUGUAUGAUAGGAAAUACUAUGGAGAACCAUUUCAUGUAUGCAGAUGAUCUUGUGGUCCUUAAUGUGGUGAUCAGUGAUGGGCCCGUAUUCAAAAACUUUCUUAGAAUCCUCUCAGAGAGCUCCUAACUAGCUUAAAAAAAAAACCUUGCAAGUAUUUAUAGCUUAAGAGUGAUUUAGGAAAGUUUUCAGAGCAACUCUGAGCAAGGAAGAGACAGUAGAAACUUUCAAAUUUUUUCAGAAGCUGUAUUGGUUAAUCUAAAAAAAAUUGAAGUCGUAUAGAAUAAUAGUCAGACAUUUGUGUAAUUAUGAACACUAUGAAAUUAGUAUCUGUGUAAUAAUAUAGGCUACUUUAAAAGUAUACAGCCUACAAGAUGUUUGAAAUAACAUGUCCACUUGUGCAGCAGCUUCUUGACCUGCUGAUCGUUACAUCAGCAGGUGAAGAGCCUUAAUUAGUGAUUGGAUGCACCUGUGGAGGUAACACCAUGUAGAGAAGCUCAACAUGCAUUUCUCACUUUGAACUGCAUAAAGUCAAAGAUGGAUUGAAAUGUGUGCAUAAAUAAUUUUUGUCUGUUGGGCCCAACUAUGAUUCAAAAAUACUCUUCAUGUAGUGUUUGAUAAACAUUUCCCUGUUUUAUCCUCAGUUUGAGGAAGUCUUAAGCCUGUUAGAAGUCCUCCUCACAUUGUUACACCUUAGGAGCUCUCUGAAGGGCUGCGAUGCUUUGUGAUUAACUCUCAUUUUAAAAGGAUCUAGUCUGAACUUUGAGGGCAAAUUCUUAGAAAAUGUCCUGAUUCUAGAAUUUUGUCACUAGGGGCAACUCUUUGGAGGCUUCGUGAAUACGGCCCCAGCACACUUUCAAUCCAAGAUAUGGAAACUCUGUUGAAGUUGUAGGCUAUCGUCAGAGGGCAAUAUUUUAUACCAUACCUUACCAUUUAUGUUGCAUGUUUGUAUACUUUGUAAUUUAUGUAUUGUCUUAUCUGGAUCCUGUGUCUAUAAUAAAGUUUUGAUAGAUUUUUG